This is a non-coding RNA of Paramuricea clavata, 2725 nucleotides long. The record is from the annotation of a GenBank genome assembly. NCBI's taxonomy places the organism in Eukaryota, Metazoa, Cnidaria, Anthozoa, Malacalcyonacea, Plexauridae.
GCUGAAGGAAGAAAACAGAACUUGCUUGGAGACGAAAUUUACAAAAUGAUGUCCGCGAAGAUUCUGUUGAAAAUCCUGAUUUUCUCAGCCUGGCUGAGCUUGGCUAGUGGUCUAACGCAAAGCGACAAGGUAGUUGAUACUAAAAUGAUGAUAGGUGCAUACAUUUGGGAAAAUAUCUUAUAUAUUUUUUCAAAAUUUAAGCCCAGCAGGUUCUCUAUAUUACUGCGCAUAUUACGAUUGUGAAUUGUAUGCAUGACGCUAUUUAUACUGUUUUGGAGAACUGCUGCCCAUGCAUGGGAUCGAUCAAACAUAUGUAUCGCACAACUAUACUUUACAUGCAUGUGUGUUAAUCAUGAAAGCAUAACAAAUAUAAAAUAUAAAAAAACUUUGAAAAUGAUUUAUAUACAGGGUGUCCCACAAACCCGCGUAUAAAAGAACCACUAUUUUUAUGUCAGGCGAUUUACGUGAUUUCGGGUAUUUAGUGACGGAAAUCGGGUUAAGUUGGUUCUUAAAACUGGUUCUUUAUAUUUCAAGUGGAAAACAAUUGUUCCUAUAGUUUGGUGUUUUAAAUUAUUUGUUUCUCCAAUUAGUAUACAAACUGUUGAUCAGUAUUAUACACGUCGUCUAAUGAUUGCUAUUUAAAAGUUUCUGAGUUUCCUCAUGAGUAUACCCAACAACAGAUUAUAUGCUUUUCCAUUUGCAAUGGUACCGGCCUGCCCUUACUUAGAACAUGCAUUCUAGAGGAUUUUUUUGAGAAUCAGUCUUAUUCGUCAGCCUGAAGUGAUCCUUGUAUUUUGGGUGCUUAAUUUUGCUAAAUGUCAGGCUGUUGCUUCUUAACCCACUGUUCCUUUUAGGCGAGUUUUACCGUACGCAAAUGAGAGCAUGACCGCAUGCGGUUAAGCGAACAUGCGGUUAGUUAUGAUUUUAUCCAUACAUGCAUGCUCCACUCAGACUUGAUGCCUACUAAAAAUAUGUAACUCACAUCAAUACCGACAUAGUAAUACCACAAAACAUAUAGUGGGGGACGUUUAUUGGACAUCCUGCAUGUAUAUGUAGAGUCUUUAUAAGUGUAAUGUAUAUUGUAUAGAGUUUUCCAAGAAAGGCAACCGAGUAUAUCAGCAGUGUAUUUAAGGCCUGUUUUAUACGUCGAAUUUCGGUCGCGUCGAAUGCAAUUCAAACAAUACAUAAUGAAGCUUAAUAAAACGGGCCUAUAAGAAGUGCAUCAGCGACCUUUUAUUAAUUGUUCUGAAAGUUUGCAUUCACUUCAGAAGCAAACAUACUUUUUUACAAGUUGCCAAAUUGGGCUACCUCGUCACAUCUGCUGUGAUCGCUUUGGCAAGAAUGAAGGAACAUUUCAAUGAAAAGAGUUGAACCAUACAGCAGCUUCAUACAAGAAGAAACAGUCAACAAUGAGUAUGGCUAAAAUAAUUUGAAACGUGGCAUAAGCCUCACCACAUAAGAUAUCUUAAUCUCCGUGUUUGGAUAUUGUACGAUGAAACUUGACAACUGUUAAGUGUGUUGACCCAGAUUAUUGAGUUCCUUCAGCAGUAAGAUAAAUAUUACUAAUAAUUAAUUCCACAUUCUGAGCGUAAUAGGGAAUUAAAUAUGCAGCAUAUAUAAUCCGAAAUGCCUAAUCUUUCUUGAUCAAUAUAACUUACACUGGAAAAAGCUGAGUGAAAUUCAUACUAUGGAAUUUGCGAUUGCAUCACUAGAUCCAUAGUAUAUCCAUACUAUUACCAUACUACAUCCAUGGUAUAUGGAAAAUACGAUUUGUAUGAAAAUUGGAUUUCCAUACUAUUUCCAUAGUUAUAAGAAUUUGGAAAAAAUUCCUCCCAGUGUUAUUCCUAAAAAGUUCUCUUUCUUGGGACGGUAUACAGUAUAGAGACACGUUUUACUGGCCUCAAAUGUAACUGCAUGAGAAAACAGGAAUAUGUGCUCCUGGAGAAAACCCGUAGUGUUUUGUGGAAUCAAAUUACAAGUACUUUUCUGACAUGUCAAUGAGGUGAAGAUACAGCAGAAUUUGAAUUAAGAAUUGGUCAGUCAAAGGGCCGAAAGAGGAUCCUAACUUGGAGUUGCUGAACAGAAAAAGUAGGACGUGUGACCGGGUGUGGGUCUUGUAUUUUUGAGCCUCUGGGCCUUGAUUUUCAGCAUUUUUAUACAAACAAUUUUUGAUAUAUUACUUAAUUAACUUAACUAAGACAUUCUUUCCUUUUGUACUUAUAUUUUACACAGAAGGGACCUUCACUGGCAGAGGGGGAGGGUCACUGGACGGGGCCAACAUUUGGGCUGGGGGGCAUACCUUCCCACCUCGCCGCCUAUGUGUCGGAGGCCACGGUUUUAAACCAGACAAAUGAAACUCGAGGAAACACAGUAACUAACCACUGCUAUUGCAACUGAGCCAUAAAUAAGCGAGCCGACUGAAUUUCUAAUGCGAAUUUGUAAGUCAGCAAUAUCAGCGUGGUUACCCAAAAAUCUGUUGAAAAGGAAAACGAUUCUCUAUAUUCAGCUUCAUAGUUCAUAAUUCAUGACUUUGCCAUGCAAAAUAUUACACUUCAUGUAUACCUGGGCAAUGACCUAGUCAUUUUGUUUCGCAUGGUUACAUUUCAGAAAUUUUCCAAGUGUAACAUUGGGCAACACCUCAACCAUAAAGACAGAACUGAGCGUUUGAAAUUGCUGAUUUGUACAGAAAAAAUUAAAGGCGUUCCUCAAUGGAAAUUUGUUGACG